Molecule: ribosomal RNA, 26 nt
Filed under: Candidozyma haemuli
Lineage: Eukaryota; Fungi; Ascomycota; Pichiomycetes; Serinales; Metschnikowiaceae
Description: [Candida] haemulonis partial 18S ribosomal RNA
Source: RNAcentral
UAACCUGCGGAAGGAUCAUUAAAAUA